Molecule: non-coding RNA, 820 nt
Organism: Zootermopsis nevadensis
Lineage: Eukaryota; Metazoa; Arthropoda; Insecta; Blattodea; Termopsidae
Source: RefSeq, a predicted model, not a curated record
ACUCUCAUCUUCUAAAACUUCAUUUAAAACUUGUAUUUGGUCUAGCUCCGUCAGAGGACGACUUGUCGAAGGGACAGCCAUUAUAAACUACCAGGUCAGGCGUUUAUUUUUAGACUCUCCGGUGCAGGUCUGUGGAAUGUAACACUGUUGCCAUAUGUAUACACAUAGAGCUUUAUUUCCACAACAGGCGAGUAAAAACCUCAUCGCGCUGGCGUUAUUUAUUCCAUACUUAUGGGCAUUAUAAAUUAAGCUAACAGCCUUGCGUAUAUGCACGUAAAACCACAAGCACUCAAAUUUAAAUGCCCGCGUAUAUACAUGUAGAAACACGUCGAAAGGUUAAAAGCCGAUUGGCAAGCGGCUUUGGAGAGAGUGUGGAAAGAGCUGAGGUGUGAGUCAGGAUGUAGAAGUGAGUUGCAAGCGAGAUGCUGUUGCGGACAGCGGUGGCAAGCGAUAAACGAUGAGUGUGGAAAGAACAGAGCUGUGAAUCGGGUGUAAGAGAAGUGUGUGGUAGAGUCGAGAGAGUGGAGCCAACAAGAGGUCUGGUCGGCUGCGUGAGCGGGCACCGGGUACGUGGACCGUGGUGGCCGAGGAGCCAGCGUGUGUCCAGUGGGGUGCUACGGGCCGAUGUGUAAGCGAAGAGUGUGAAGAUUGCCGAGCUCGGGGGACCAGAUAGACUUGGAGGACUGUGAGAGUGUGUGCGCGCAUGUUGAGAACAGGAAACAGAGACUCAAAGACUGUUGUUGUGGCAGAGAGUUGACUGUAUGUGCAGACCUCUGUAACUGAUUUAAUUUGACGUGAAUAAAUCGAGGUUGACAAUCCA